CACGUAGGGGGCAAGCGUUGUCCGGAAUUAUUGGGCGUAAAGAGCUCGUAGGCGGUUUGUCGCGUCUGCCGUGAAAGUCCGGGGCUCAACUCCGGAUCUGCGGUGGGUACGGGCAGACUAGAGUGAUGUAGGGGAGACUGGAAUUCCUGGUGUAGCGGUGAAAUGCGCAGAUAUCAGGAGGAACACCGAUGGCGAAGGCAGGUCUCUGGGCAUUAACUGACGCUGAGGAGCGAAAGCAUGGGGAGCGAACAGG
Molecule: ribosomal RNA, 253 nt
Filed under: uncultured bacterium
Lineage: Bacteria
Description: partial 16S ribosomal RNA
Rfam family: Bacterial small subunit ribosomal RNA
Source: RNAcentral